CCUGGUAGCAUUAGCGCAGUAGAACCACCUGAAACCAUUCCGAACUCAGAAGUGAAAUGCUGUAGCGCCGAUGGUAGUGUGGGGUUUCCCCAUGUGAGAGUAGGGAACUGCCAGGC
RNAcentral lists this ribosomal RNA (116 nucleotides) under Pantoea sp. Mhis. The record is from RNAcentral. Lineage: Bacteria; Pseudomonadati; Pseudomonadota; Gammaproteobacteria; Enterobacterales; Erwiniaceae.